GACGAACGCUGGCGGCGUGCUUAACACAUGCAAGUCGAACGAUGAACCGGUUUCGGCCGGGGAUUAGUGGCGAACGGGUGAGUAACACGUGGGCAAUCUGCCCUGCACUCUGGGAUAAGCCCGGGAAACUGGGUCUAAUACCGGAUACGACACUCCGAGGCAUCUUGGGGUGUGGAAAGUUCCGGCGGUGCAGGGUGAGCCCGCGGCCUAUCAGCUUGUUGGUGGGGUAAUGGCCUACCAAGGCGACGACGGGUAGCCGGCCUGAGAGGGUGACCGGCCACACUGGGACUGAGACACGGCCCAGACUCCUACGGGAGGCAGCAGUGGGGAAUAUUGCACAAUGGGCGAAAGCCUGAUGCAGCGACGCCGCGUGAGGGAUGACGGCCUUCGGGUUGUAAACCUCUUUCAGCAGGGAAGAAGCGAAAGUGACGGUACCUGCAGAAGAAGCACCGGCUAACUACGUG
Molecule: ribosomal RNA, 464 nt
Filed under: uncultured bacterium
Lineage: Bacteria
Description: partial 16S ribosomal RNA
Rfam family: Bacterial small subunit ribosomal RNA
Source: RNAcentral